Molecule: RNA transcript, 4596 nt
Organism: Podarcis raffonei (Aeolian wall lizard)
Lineage: Eukaryota; Metazoa; Chordata; Lepidosauria; Squamata; Lacertidae
Gene: SMC5
Gene name: structural maintenance of chromosomes 5
Exons: 26
Source: RefSeq, a predicted model, not a curated record
UUCGCAGCGCCCGCGCGCCGGGAGCGGCGGCAAAAUGGCGACGCCCGCGAAGCGCCGAGCGAAGAGCCCUGAGGAGGAAGCGGAAGGCGGGAGCCCGGGCAGCGGCCGCCUGCGCCGCUGGAGGCGAAGAACGGCCCCGCUAGCCGCGCUGGCCCCGCCGGAGGCCGAGCCGCCCUUCGUGGAGGGCUCCAUCCUCAAGAUCUACAUGGAGAACUUCCUUACUUACGAUUCCUGUGUGGUGCUUCCAGGACCCCAUCUAAACAUGAUAGUUGGAGCUAAUGGAACAGGUAAAUCAAGUAUCGUAUGUGCCUUAUGCCUGGGAUUGGCUGGAAAACCUUCCUUCAUAGGACGAGCAGACAAGGUUGGUCACUAUGUGAAGCGGGGUACUAACAAAGCAGUUGUUGAAAUUGAGGUGUUUAAGAAACCAUCCAAACUUGUUAUCACACGGGAAAUGUCUGUAUCAAACAACCAGUCUGCUUGGUUUAUUAAUAAGAAACCGUCCACUCUCAAAAUGGUAGAAGAUCAAAUUGCAGCCUUAAAUAUCCAAGUAGGCAAUCUGUGCCAAUUUCUUCCACAGGACAAGGUUGGAGAAUUUGCAAAAUUAUCCAAGGUUGAACUACUUGAAGCCACAGAGAAAUCGGUUGGUCCUCCAGAAAUGUACAAAUAUCACUGUGAUCUGAAAAACUUUAGACAGCGAGAGCGAGAACUAGAGAAUUCAUGUAAAGAGAAACAUAGCAACCUAGAGAAAAUGAAGCAAACAAAUGAAAGGUAUAAACAAGAUGUGGAGCGAUACCAUGAACAUAAACGCCAUCUGGAUUUAAUUGCAAUGCUUGAGAGAAAAAGGCCCUGGGUGGUAUAUGAAGAUGUCCGCAAGCAAUAUGAACAGGUGAAACAAAACAGAGAUCGUCAAAAGGAGGAAUUAAAUGCACUAAGAAAAUCACAAUCUCCCAUGACACAUCAGAUCCAAGAGGCUGAGAAGCAGUGUGCAAGUCUGAAUAACAAAAUCCAAGAGAAAGCUGCAGCUAUCAGAGAAACAUCUCAGAAAUGUAAACAGCAUCAAGAUGCUUUGGAGUCAAAAGACAAAGAAAUUGAGAGAAUUAUGCAGGCAAUGAGGAUGAAGGAGGAGGUAGAAAUGGACCGACAGAAGAGAAUACAAAACACUCGUAAGAUGAUAGAAGACUGGAAUAAUGAGCUAAGAAAUACAGACAGUCCUGAGAAUAUUCAACCUCAGAUGGAUUCAAUUAAUGCUGAGCUUAACCAUUUGCAGAAAGAGAAACUAAAUAUUGAUGGUGAAUUAAAUCAUCUGACAGGAGAAAAGGAGAACUUGCUAAAGGACAAAGAUGGAGUAAUGAAUGGCAUUCUGCAGUUUGAGAAUAUGAUGAAGAUGAAGGAAGAGAAGCUCAGAAGGAGAUUUCAAGACACACACACUGCUCUUAGGUGGCUAAGAGAAAACAGAAACCGGUUCGAAAGAGAAGUCUGUGAUCCCAUGAUGCUUGCAAUCAAUAUGAAAGAUCAUAAGCAUGCUAAAUAUGUAGAAAAUCACAUUUCAUCCAACGACUUGAGGGCCUUUGUCUUUGAAAGCCAAGAAGAUAUGGAAAUCUUUCUAAGAGAGGUGCGUGAUGUUCAGAGGCUCAGAGUGAAUGCUGUGUGCGCACCAAGUGAAUCUUAUGCUGAAAGCAGACCUUGGAAACCAGUUGAAGAACUGUUCCGGUAUGGAGUUUUCUCUUACUUGAGAGAGUUGUUUGAUGCUCCCCACCCUGUGAUGAAUUACCUGUGUGAUAAAUAUCGCAUUCAUGAGGUCCCUGUCGGCACAGAGAAAACCAGAAAUAUGAUUGAAAGGGUCAUAAAAGAAACCAAACUGAGAAGCAUCUACACAGCAGAAGAAAGAUAUAUGGUAAAAUUGUCUUUUUACACAAAUCAGACCAUUACCAGUAAUAUAUCACUGAAGCCGGCACAGUUCCUUACUGUCACAGUGGAUGCAGACGAAAGAAGGCAGUUGGAAAAUCAACAGAAGGAAAUUGCAAGGCAGCUGGAGUUGCUGGAUUCUAAAAUGGCUUCCCUCUCUGAACAACAAAAACGUAUGGAACACAGAGAUAAUGACCUCAGACAACAGAAAAAGUUGCUAUUGGAUAGAAAAAACAAAAGAAAGCAAUUGGAAUCAAAAAUUAGUAUGAAAAGUGACAGUUUGAGACAAAUGGAACAAGAUGGCGUCAACCUGGCAGAAGCGUCUGAGCAAGCGAAGAUUGCAGUAAAACAAAUUAACACUGGAAAAGUAAAACUCGUUACAGAAUUUAUGCAACUAAUAAAGAGUUGUGUGACCUUGAACAAACAGAAAACAGAUUUGGUUCUACAGAACAUGAAAGCGGCUUUCCACAAGAGCAGACUUGAGGCUGAAUAUAAAGCCUGCGCUGUCCAGCUACGAGCUGCAGAGCAGCAGCUUUUGGAGCUGGAUGAAAGGAGACGCGCCCUCUUGGAGAACUGUAAAGGUUUAAUGAGGAAAGCUAUGCAAGCUUGCAACCUUCGUCCAGAUCAAAGUAUUCCAGAACAUUUCAGCAACGCAUUCCUUGCUCUUCCAAACACACUGGAUGAAAUUGACGCUUUGCUGAAUGAGGAGAAAUCAAGAGCUUCCUGUUUCACAGGCCUCAGCGCUUCAGUUGUUGAGGAAUGUAACAAAAGGACAGAAGAAAUAGCACAGAUGACAGUGGAGCUGGAGGAGAAGACAAAAGAAUUGGAUGACUAUAGGCAGAAUAUUUCACAGGCUAAGGAAAAGUGGCUAAACCCUUUGAAACAGCUAGUUGAGCAAAUUAAUGAAAAGUUCAGCGGCUUUUUUAGUUCCAUGCAGUGUGCCGGGGAAGUGGACCUACAUACAGAAAACGAGGAGGAAUAUGACAAAUACGGGAUUCGGAUUAGAGUCAAGUUUCGCAGUAGCACCCAACUUCACGAACUGACUCCACACCAUCAGAGUGGAGGGGAGAGAAGUGUUUCGACGAUGCUGUACCUGAUGGCUUUGCAGGAACUCAACAGAUGCCCCUUCAGAGUGGUGGAUGAAAUAAAUCAGGGAAUGGACCCAGUUAAUGAAAGGAGAGUCUUUGAUGUGGUGGUUGAAACGGCUUGCAAAGCGAGCACUUCUCAGUACUUCCUUAUUACACCAAAGCUCCUGCAGAACCUCACUUAUGCACAGAGGAUGUCAGUGCUGUUGGUCUACAAUGGAUCUUCUAUGCUAGAAUCGAACAAGUUCAGCCUGAAGUGCUUCCAUAGGAGACGGCUGCGAUUUCUGUGUUCAUAAAGGUCUUCCAGAGCUCGUCUUUGGGGAAAAGCUACUGCUGAGACCAAAAUCCUAACCAAAUGGUAUGCCUUACAGAAAAAACAAGCUCCAGAUCAUCACAUGCACCACCAGAGGCCAGUAUAAUACACAGUAAUGAACUGCUGUGUUGCUGUUUCACCACGCGGGUGAUGAGAAGGGCUUGAGAAGGGGGAAUACAUCUUCCACUUUAUAUUUGAGUGGGAUGUUUGUGUCCCUUCUCAAAAUAGUUUUGAGCCACACUGUUACCCCACAGUCCAGAAGUCCCUUGGUAAGCUGUGUAGCAUGCAGAAUAGUAAUAUGGAUGAAGGGUGCCUGCAUGAAACAGCCAGGAAAAAAGAAGAAACAGGCAUUGGAGAUGGAGAGAUAGUAGGUUCAGCCCAGACUCUGAGGUCCAGCGCCGAGGGCCUUCUGGCAGUUCCUUCACUGCGAGAAGCGAAGUUACUGGGAACCAGGCAGAGGGCCUUCUCGGUGGUGGCGCCCGCCCUGUGGAAUGCCCUCCUAUCAGAUACAUUUGAAAUAAACAACUCUCUGACUUUUAGAAGACAUUUGAAGGCAGCCCUGUUGAGGGAAGUUUUUAAUGUUUAUUGUUAUUGUUGUUUUAUUAUUGUUAUUGGUGUUCUGUUGAGAGCUGCCCAGAGUGCCUGGGGAAAUCCAGCCAAAUGGGCGGGGUAUAAAUAAUGUGUUGUUUUUGUUAGUAUUGUUGUUGUUACUGUGGUUAUUGUUAUUACUGCUGCCACCGCAGAAUUGCAUAUAAGAGGUCAGCUGGCUGUCUUCAAUUUUUGAUCCUAGUGCAGAGACUGAGUUAACUUUCUGUUUAGAAUAAAUAACAUUCUCCCACACCCCCAUUACAAACAUUUUGUGGCUGGUGCCCACUGGUCAAAAAAGGCUGGCAACCCAUGUGCUAAAGAGCCCCAGCCAAAAUGGUCAGUGGUCAGGAAGGAUGGGGACAAAGGCUUUUGUAUUUGGGGAGCAGAGUUUAUUGGGAGGAAUGUGCUUGGGACUUGGUGUUUUGCAGUCACACUAUUUCCCCCCCAACAAACCUUUACUCUUGGAGUGCAAAACAAAAGAAGCUCAGACUUGUCACAUCUGCUGCUUGAAGCUCAAGCAACUGUAGUUUCAGUCCAAAGUCUGUUUCAUCAUAACCUGUAUUGAAUUCAAAACUUGUAAAUUGUAUAUAGACAUUAACAAGUGUGCAAAUAGGUAGUCAAUUUCCUGUUGCAGAUCAAGCCAACAAGUAUCUCUGCAUUAAUAUGUACUUUUGCAUCAAAUAAAAGAAAGCUUUCCCACCCUCA